UACGUAGGGUGCAAGCGUUGUCCGGAAUUAUUGGGCGUAAAGAGCUCGUAGGCGGUCUGUCACGUCGGCUGUGAAAUCCCGAGGCUCAACCUCGGGUCUGCAGUCGAUACGGGCAAACUAGAGUAUUGCAGGGGAGACUGGAAUUCCUGGUGCAGCGGUGAAAUGCGCAGAUAUCAGGAGGAACACCGGUGGCGAAGGCGGGUCUCUGGGCAAUAACUGACGCUGAGGAGCGAAAGCGUGGGGAGCGAACAGG
RNAcentral lists this ribosomal RNA (253 nucleotides) under uncultured bacterium. RNAcentral describes it as "partial 16S ribosomal RNA". It matches the Rfam family "Bacterial small subunit ribosomal RNA", at positions 524 to 776 of the family's 1533-position model. The record is from RNAcentral.